UACGGGGGGAGCAAGCGUUGUUCGGAUUUACUGGGCGUAAAGGGCGCGUAGGCGGCCAGUGCAAGUCAGUUGUGAAAUCUCCGAGCUUAACUCGGAAAGGUCAACUGAUACUGCUCGGCUAGAGUGCGGAAGGGGCAACUGGAAUUCUUGGUGUAGCGGUGAAAUGCGUAGAUAUCAAGAGGAACACCUGCGGCGAAGGCGGGUUGCUGGGCCGACACUGACGCUGAGGCGCGAAAGCUAGGGGAGCGAACGGG
RNAcentral lists this ribosomal RNA (254 nucleotides) under uncultured bacterium. RNAcentral describes it as "partial 16S ribosomal RNA". It matches the Rfam family "Bacterial small subunit ribosomal RNA", at positions 524 to 776 of the family's 1533-position model. The record is from RNAcentral.